RNAcentral lists this ribosomal RNA (139 nucleotides) under uncultured Actinomycetes bacterium. RNAcentral's name for it is "uncultured actinobacterium partial 16S ribosomal RNA". It matches the Rfam family "Bacterial small subunit ribosomal RNA", at positions 372 to 525 of the family's 1533-position model. The record is from RNAcentral. Lineage: Bacteria; Bacillati; Actinomycetota; Actinomycetes.
GGGGCGCAGCCUGACCAGCGACGCCGCGUGAGGGAUGAAGGCCUUCGGGUUGUAAACCUCUUUCAGUAGGGAAGAAGCGAAAGUGACGGUACCUAAAGAAGAAGCACCGGCUAACUAUGUGCCAGCAGCCGCGGUAAUA